CAACUCGGAGGAAGUGGGGAUGACGUCAAAUCAUCAUGCCCCUUAUGUCUUGGGCUUCACGCAUGCUACAAUGGCCGGUACAAAGGGCUGCGAUACCGCGAGGUGGAGCGAAUCCCAGAAAGCCGGUCUCAGUUCGGAUUGGGGUCUGCAACUCGACCCCAUGAAGUCGGAGUCGCUAGUAAUCGCAGAUCAGCAACGCUGCGGUGAAUACGUUCCCGGGCCUU
This 224-nucleotide ribosomal RNA is filed under the name uncultured Cellulomonas sp. Its description in RNAcentral is "partial 16S ribosomal RNA". It matches the Rfam family "Bacterial small subunit ribosomal RNA", at positions 1159 to 1382 of the family's 1533-position model. Lineage: Bacteria; Bacillati; Actinomycetota; Actinomycetes; Micrococcales; Cellulomonadaceae. The record is from RNAcentral.